AGCGAACGCUGGCGGCGUGCCUAACACAUGCAAGUCGAACGUGAACGGGGGCAACCCUUAGUAAAGUGGCGUACGGGUGAGUAAUACGUAGGUAAUCUACCUGACAAUCUGGAAUAACCGGCCGAAAGGCUGGCUAAUACUGGAUAGAGCGACGGAACCCGUAAUCGGGUUUUUCGGGAAAGGGAGGCAGCAAUGCCCUUCGUUGUCAGAUGAGCCUGCGUCCCAUCAGCUAGUUGGUAAGGUAAUGGCUUACCAAGGCUUUGACGGGUAGCUGGUCUGAGAGGAUGAUCAGCCACACUGGAACUGAAACACGGUCCAGACUCCUACGGGAGGCAGCAGUGGGGAAUCUUGCGCAAUGGACGAAAGUCUGACGCAGCCACGCCGCGUGAGUGAAGAAGGCCUUCGGGUUGUAAAGCUCUGUCGGGCGGGACGAAAAGCAAUAGGGUUAACAGCCCUAUUGCCUGACGGUACCGCCAAAGGAAGCACCGGCUAACUUCGUGCCAGCAGCCGCAGUAA
This 516-nucleotide ribosomal RNA is filed under the name uncultured bacterium. RNAcentral describes it as "partial 16S ribosomal RNA". It matches the Rfam family "Bacterial small subunit ribosomal RNA", at positions 29 to 523 of the family's 1533-position model. The record is from RNAcentral.